UGCCUCGUAGUGUAACGGUAGCACUAGAGACUCUGAAUCUCUCUGUCUAGGUUCGAAUCCUAGCGAGGCAGCCA
RNAcentral lists this transfer RNA (74 nucleotides) under Verrucomicrobiota bacterium. RNAcentral's name for it is "Verrucomicrobia bacterium tRNA-Gln". It matches the Rfam family "tRNA". Rfam says of the family: Transfer RNA (tRNA) molecules are approximately 80 nucleotides in length. Their secondary structure includes four short double-helical elements and three loops (D, anti-codon, and T loops). The record is from RNAcentral. Lineage: Bacteria; Pseudomonadati; Verrucomicrobiota. RNAcentral also lists the same sequence under 3 other names.